RNAcentral lists this ribosomal RNA (422 nucleotides) under uncultured prokaryote. RNAcentral's name for it is "bacterial SSU rRNA". It matches the Rfam family "Bacterial small subunit ribosomal RNA", at positions 338 to 774 of the family's 1533-position model. The record is from RNAcentral.
CCUACGGGUGGCAGCAAUUAGGAAUCUUGCGCAAUGGGCGAAAGCCUGACGCAGCGACGCCGCGUGACUGAUGAAGUCUUUCGGGUUGUAAAGGUCUUUUGUGGGGGACGAAGGAAGUUACGGUACCCCACGAAUAAGCUCCGGCUACCUACGUGCCAGCAGCCGCGGUAAUACGUAGGGAGCGAGCGUUGUCCGAAUUCACUGGGCGUAAAGCGCGCGUAGGCGGGCUAUUAAGUUGGGGGUGAAAUGCCGAGGCUUAACCGCGGAAGUGCCUUCGAAACUGGUAGGCUUGAGGGAUGGAGAGGGAAGUGGAAUUCCAGGUGUAGCGGUGAAAUGCGUAGAGAUCUGGAGGAACACCAGUGGCGAAGGCGGCUUCCUGGUCAGAUCCUGACGCUGAGGUGCGAAAGCUAGGGGAGCGAACG